CCCUUAGAUGUUCUGGGCCGCACACGCGCUACACUGAAGGAGGCAGCGUGUACUCCUGGAUCGAAAGAUUUGGGUAACCCGCGAAUCUCCUUCGUGCUAGGGAUUGAGGUUUGCAAUUAUCCUUCAUGAACGAGGAAUUCCCAGUAAGUGCAAGUCAUAAGCUUGCGCUGACUACGUCCCUGCCCUUUGUACACACCGCCCGUCGCUACUACCGAUUGAAUGGUCCGGUGAAAUUCUCGGACGCGGACUUGCGAUGUUAAUUCGGAGCUUGACUGUGAAAGUUAAUUAAACCUUACCAUUUAGAGGAAGGUGAAGUCGUAACA
RNAcentral lists this ribosomal RNA (323 nucleotides) under uncultured eukaryote. RNAcentral's name for it is "partial 18S ribosomal RNA". It matches the Rfam family "Eukaryotic small subunit ribosomal RNA", at positions 1470 to 1796 of the family's 1831-position model. The record is from RNAcentral.